CCUACGGGAGGCAGCAGUGGGGAAUAUUGCACAAUGGGCGAAAGCCUGAUGCAGCAACGCCGCGUGAGCGAUGAAGGCCUUCGGGUCGUAAAGCUCUGUCCUCAAGGAAGAUAAUGACGGUACUUGAGGAGGAAGCCGCGGCUAACUACGUGCCAGCAGCCGCGGUAAUACGUCGGGGGCUAGCGUUAUCCGGAUUUACUGGGCGUAAAGGGUGCGUAGGUGGUUUCUUAAGUCAGAGGUGAAAGGCUAGGGCUCAACCGUAGUAAGCCGUUGAAACUGGGGAACUUGAGUGCAGGAGAGGUGAGUGGAAUUCCUAGUGUAGCGGUGAAAUGCGUAGAUAUUAGGAGGAACACCAGUUGCGAAGGCGGCUCUCUGGACUGUAACUGACACUGAGGCACGAAAGCGUGGGGAGCAAACAGGAUUAGAUACCCGAGUAGUC
RNAcentral lists this ribosomal RNA (439 nucleotides) under uncultured bacterium. RNAcentral's name for it is "partial 16S ribosomal RNA". It matches the Rfam family "Bacterial small subunit ribosomal RNA", at positions 338 to 795 of the family's 1533-position model. The record is from RNAcentral.